UACACAUGCAGUCGAACGAAGGAACACAACUUAGUGGCAGACGGGUGAGUAACAUGUAGGUAUCUGCCCUUUGGCCUGGAAUAACACGAGGAAACUUGUGCUAAUACCGGAUAAGUCGUUACGGAGAAAGCUUUAUGCACCAUUGGAUGAGCCUGCACUUGAUUAGUUUGUUGGUGGGGUAAUGGCCUACCAAGACUUUGAUCAAUAGCUGAUUUGAGAGGAUGAUCAACCACAUUGGGACUGAGACACGGCCCAAACUCCUACGGGAGGCAGCAGUGGGGAAUCUUGCACAAUGGAGGAAACUCUGAUGCAGCGAUGCCGCGUGAGUGAAGAAGGCCUUUGGGUUGUAAAGCUCUUUCGUCGGGGAAGAAAAUGACUGUACCCGAAUAAGAAGGUCCGGCUAACUUCGUGCCAGCAGCCGCGGUAAUACGAAGGGACCUAGCGUAAUUCGGAAUUACUGGGCUUAAAGAGUUCGUAGGUGGUUGAAAAAGUUGGUGGUGAAAUCCCAGAGCUUAACUCUGGAACUGCCAUCAAAACUUUUCAGCUAGAGUAUGAUAGAGGAAAGCAGAAUUUCUAGUGUAGAGGUGAAAUUCGUAGAUAUUAGAAAGAAUACCAAUUACGAAGGCAGCUUUCUGGAUCAUUACUGACACUGAGGAACGAAAGCAUGGGUAGCGAAGAGGAUUAGAUACCCUCGUAGUCCAUGCCGUAAACGAUGUGUGUUAGACGUUGGAAAUUUAUUUUCAGUGUCGCAGCGAAAGCGAUAAACACACCGCCUGGGGAGUACGACCGCAAGGUUAAAACUCAAAUGAAUUGACGGGGACCCGCACAAGUAGUGGAGCAUGUGGUUUAAUUCGAAGAUACGCGCAGAACCUUACCAACACUUGACAUGUUCGUCGCGACUCUAAGAGAUUAGAGUUUUCGGUUCGGCCGGACGAAACACAGGUGCUGCAUGGCUGCCGUCAGCUCGUGUCGUGAGAUGUUGGGUUAAGUCCCGCAACGAGCGCAACCCUCACUUUUAGUUGCCAUCAUUAAGUUGGGCACUCUGAAAGAACUGCCAGUGAUAAGCUGGAGGAAGGUGGGGAUGACGUCAAGUCCUCAUGGCCCUUACGUGUUGGGCUACACACGUGCUACAAUGGUAUCUACAACAGGAAGCAAGACGGCGACGUCAAGCAAAUCCUUAAAAGAUACCUCAGUUCGGAUUGCACUCUGCAACUCGAGUGCAUGAAGCUGGAAUUACUAGUAAUCGUGGAUCAGCGUGCCACGGUGAAUGCGUUCCCGGGUCUUGUACACACCGCCCGUCACACCAUGGGAGUUGGUUCUACUAUAAGGCAACGUGUACACCAUGCACGCAGCGGGAACUACCCA
This 1365-nucleotide ribosomal RNA is filed under the name uncultured bacterium. Its description in RNAcentral is "bacterial SSU rRNA". It matches the Rfam family "Bacterial small subunit ribosomal RNA". The record is from RNAcentral.